UCAUGAUCUUGAUCGGGUGCCA
This 22-nucleotide microRNA is filed under the name Pristionchus pacificus. RNAcentral describes it as "ppc-miR-8258-3p". Lineage: Eukaryota; Metazoa; Nematoda; Chromadorea; Rhabditida; Neodiplogasteridae. The record is from miRBase by way of RNAcentral.